GAAGUUCCUACAGGAUCGACCUCAGAACACAUGAAGUGCGCAGCGCAGCUUCUUUUUUCAUGUGUUCUCAGGUCGCCCCUGCAGGGUCUUC
This 91-nucleotide microRNA precursor is filed under the name Zostera marina. Its description in RNAcentral is "MIR398 microRNA precursor family". It matches the Rfam family "MIR398 microRNA precursor family". The record is from Rfam by way of RNAcentral. Lineage: Eukaryota; Viridiplantae; Streptophyta; Magnoliopsida; Alismatales; Zosteraceae.